CCUACGGGAGGCUGCAGUGAGGAAUAUUGGUCAAUGGACGAGAGUCUGAACCAGCCAAGUAGCGUGAAGGAUGACUGCCCUAUGGGUUGUAAACUUCUUUUAUAUGGGAAUAAAAUGUUCCACGUGUGGGUUUUUGUAUGUACCAUAUGAAUAAGGAUCGGCUAACUCCGUGCCAGCAGCCGCGUUAAUACGGAGGAUCCGAGCGUUAUCCGGAUUUAUUGGGUUUAAAGGGAGCGUAGGUGGUUUGUUAAGUCAGUUGUGAAAGUUUGCGGCUCAACCGUAAAAUUGCAGUUGAUACUGGCAGUCUUGAGUACAGUAGAGGUGGGCGGAAUUCGUGGUGUAGCGGUGAAAUGCUUAGAUAUCACGAAGAACUCCGAUUGCGAAGGCAGCUCACUGAACUGCAACUGACACUGAGGCUCGAAAGUGUGGGUAUCAAACAGGACUAGAUACCCGUGUAGUC
This 460-nucleotide ribosomal RNA is filed under the name uncultured bacterium. RNAcentral's name for it is "partial 16S ribosomal RNA". It matches the Rfam family "Bacterial small subunit ribosomal RNA", at positions 338 to 795 of the family's 1533-position model. The record is from RNAcentral.